GAUUCUGGGAUGAGAAAUAGCCAAAUCUGAACACCAGAAGAUAAAACAAUCUUCCAGGUAUAUGCAGUAUUCAGUUCUGAAA
Molecule: small nucleolar RNA, 82 nt
Filed under: Coturnix japonica (Japanese quail)
Lineage: Eukaryota; Metazoa; Chordata; Aves; Galliformes; Phasianidae
Description: Small nucleolar RNA U2-19 (ENSCJPG00005019675.1)
Rfam family: Small nucleolar RNA U2-19
About the family: U2-19 is a member of the C/D class of snoRNA which contain the C (UGAUGA) and D (CUGA) box motifs.
Source: RNAcentral